UGGGGAAUAUUGGACAAUGGGCGAAAGCCUGAUCCAGCCAUGCCGCGUGUGUGAAGAAGGUCUUCGGAUUGUAAAGCACUUUAAGUUGGGAGGAAGGGCAUUAACCUAAUACGUUAGUGUUUUGACGUUACCGACAGAAUAAGCACCGGCUAACUCCGUGCCAGCAGCCGCGGUAAUACAGAGGGUGCAAGCGUUAAUCGGAAUUACUGGGCGUAAAGCGCGCGUAGGUGGUUUGUUAAGUUGGAUGUGAAAUCCCCUGGCUCAACCUGGGAACUGCAUUCAAAACUGACUGACUAGAGUAUGGUAGAGGGUGGUGGAAUUUCCUGUGUAGCGGUGAAAUGCGUAGAUAUAGGAAGGAACACCAGUGGCGAAGGCGACCACCUGGACUAAUACUGACACUGAGGUGCGAAAGCGUGGGGAGCAAACA
This 427-nucleotide ribosomal RNA is filed under the name uncultured bacterium. RNAcentral's name for it is "partial 16S ribosomal RNA". It matches the Rfam family "Bacterial small subunit ribosomal RNA", at positions 355 to 774 of the family's 1533-position model. The record is from RNAcentral.